GGAUUUGAACCUUUUUGGAAUGGAGGUGUUGCUACCCGCUAAACCAUACCUUGACCUUCUAGUUCUUAUCAACCUACUAUAUUAUUUCCAAGAGCAAAAGACAAGGGAGAAAAAGGUAGGAAAAAUAAAAUGUGGGGUACUAAGGACGAACAUAGAGUGAUAUAAUAAAAAUAAUAUACGAGCAUUUUGAACCAUAGAAUCUGUUUGGCCAGAAAGGAAAAGAGUGCAUGGCACUCCCCCAGUGGUUGCAAAUUACAACUAGUUCAAGAUAUUUGUCAUAUUUCAUCAACUGUCAGACUUUUGUGGAUGUAACAGAUCACUGAUAAACAAAAAGAUUAGCCUAUUUAUCCAGAUACAAAG
This 360-nucleotide unclassified non-coding RNA is filed under the name Hevea brasiliensis (rubber tree). The record is from RNAcentral. Lineage: Eukaryota; Viridiplantae; Streptophyta; Magnoliopsida; Malpighiales; Euphorbiaceae.